Non-coding RNA from Lentinula edodes (shiitake mushroom), 82 nucleotides. The record is from the annotation of a RefSeq genome assembly. NCBI's taxonomy places the organism in Eukaryota, Fungi, Basidiomycota, Agaricomycetes, Agaricales, Omphalotaceae.
GGUUCGAUGGCGUAGUUGGUUAUCGCAUCUGUCUAACACUCUUGCCCACAGAAGGUCCCCGGUUCGAGCCCGGGUCGAAUCA